GACGAACGCUGGCGGCGUGCUUAACACAUGCAAGUCGAACGGAAAGGCCCUGCUUUUGUGGGGUGCUCGAGUGGCGAACGGGUGAGUAACACGUGAGUAACCUGCCCUUGACUUUGGGAUAACUUCAGGAAACUGGGGCUAAUACCGGAUAGGAGCUCCUGCUGCAUGGUGGGGGUUGGAAAGUUUCGGCGGUUGGGGAUGGACUCGCGGCUUAUCAGCUUGUUGGUGGGGUAGUGGCUUACCAAGGCUUUGACGGGUAGCCGGCCUGAGAGGGUGACCGGCCACAUUGGGACUGAGAUACGGCCCAGACUCCUACGGGAGGCAGCAGUGGGGAAUAUUGCACAUUGGGCGGAAGCCUGAUGCAGCAACGCCGCGUGCGGGAUGACGGCCUUCGGGUUAUAAACCGCUUUCGCCUGUGACGAAGCGUGAGUGACGGUAAUGGGUAAAGAAGCACCGGCUAACUACGUG
RNAcentral lists this ribosomal RNA (468 nucleotides) under uncultured bacterium. RNAcentral describes it as "partial 16S ribosomal RNA". It matches the Rfam family "Bacterial small subunit ribosomal RNA", at positions 28 to 507 of the family's 1533-position model. The record is from RNAcentral.